This 104-nucleotide transfer RNA is filed under the name Coprinellus micaceus. It matches the Rfam family "tRNA". Rfam says of the family: Transfer RNA (tRNA) molecules are approximately 80 nucleotides in length. Their secondary structure includes four short double-helical elements and three loops (D, anti-codon, and T loops). Lineage: Eukaryota; Fungi; Basidiomycota; Agaricomycetes; Agaricales; Psathyrellaceae. The record is from Rfam by way of RNAcentral.
GCCUCCUUGGCUCAGUUGGCUAGAGCGCAGGUCUCAUAUUCGCUUAUGAGUGAUCGCAUGAUCAUACAAUCCUGAGGUCGCAAGUUCGAGCCUUGCAGGGGGCA